AUUGAACGCUGGCGGCAGGCCUAACACAUGCAAGUCGAGCGAGCGGCGGACGGGGGAGUAAUGUCUGGGAAACUGCCGGAUGGAGGGGGAUAACUACUGGAGACGGUAGCUAAUACCGCAUACCAUCAGAUGUGCCCAGAUGGGAUGAGCUGGGAGGUGGGGUAACGGCUCACAUAGGCGACGAUCCCUAGCUGGUCUGAGAGGAUGAUCAGCAACUCUGGAACUGAGACACGCUCCAGACUCCUACGGGAGGAAGCAGUGGGGAAUAUUGCACAAUGGGCGCAAGCCUGAUGCAGCAAUGCCGCGGGGUUGAAGAAGGCCUUCGGUUUUUAAAGCACUUUCAGCGGGGAGGCGUUACCCGCAGAAGAAGCACCGGCUAACUCCGUGCCAGCAGCCGCGGUAAUUC
This 406-nucleotide ribosomal RNA is filed under the name uncultured bacterium. RNAcentral describes it as "partial 16S ribosomal RNA". It matches the Rfam family "Bacterial small subunit ribosomal RNA", at positions 30 to 526 of the family's 1533-position model. The record is from RNAcentral.